This 1712-nucleotide ribosomal RNA is filed under the name Escherichia coli. Its description in RNAcentral is "partial 23S ribosomal RNA". It matches the Rfam family "Bacterial large subunit ribosomal RNA", at positions 470 to 2167 of the family's 2925-position model. The record is from RNAcentral. Lineage: Bacteria; Pseudomonadati; Pseudomonadota; Gammaproteobacteria; Enterobacterales; Enterobacteriaceae.
AUACUCCUGACUGACCGAUAGUGAACCAGUACCGUGAGGGAAAGGCGAAAAGAACCCCGGCGAGGGGAGUGAAAAAGAACCUGAAACCGUGUACGUACAAGCAGUGGGAGCACGCUUAGGCGUGUGACUGCGUACCUUUUGUAUAAUGGGUCAGCGACUUAUAUUCUGUAGCAAGGUUAACCGAAUAGGGGAGCCGAAGGGAAACCGAGUCUUAACUGGGCGUUAAGUUGCAGGGUAUAGACCCGAAACCCGGUGAUCUAGCCAUGGGCAGGUUGAAGGUUGGGUAACACUAACUGGAGGACCGAACCGACUAAUGUUGAAAAAUUAGCGGAUGACUUGUGGCUGGGGGUGAAAGGCCAAUCAAACCGGGAGAUAGCUGGUUCUCCCCGAAAGCUAUUUAGGUAGCGCCUCGUGAAUUCAUCUCCGGGGGUAGAGCACUGUUUCGGCAAGGGGGUCAUCCCGACUUACCAACCCGAUGCAAACUGCGAAUACCGGAGAAUGUUAUCACGGGAGACACACGGCGGGUGCUAACGUCCGUCGUGAAGAGGGAAACAACCCAGACCGCCAGCUAAGGUCCCAAAGUCAUGGUUAAGUGGGAAACGAUGUGGGAAGGCCCAGACAGCCAGGAUGUUGGCUUAGAAGCAGCCAUCAUUUAAAGAAAGCGUAAUAGCUCACUGGUCGAGUCGGCCUGCGCGGAAGAUGUAACGGGGCUAAACCAUGCACCGAAGCUGCGGCAGCGACGCUGAUGCGUUGUUGGGUAGGGGAGCGUUCUGUAAGCCUGUGAAGGUGUGCUGUGAGGCAUGCUGGAGGUAUCAGAAGUGCGAAUGCUGACAUAAGUAACGAUAAAGCGGGUGAAAAGCCCGCUCGCCGGAAGACCAAGGGUUCCUGUCCAACGUUAAUCGGGGCAGGGUGAGUCGACCCCUAAGGCGAGGCCGAAAGGCGUAGUCGAUGGGAAACAGGUUAAUAUUCCUGUACUUGGUGUUACUGCGAAGGGGGGACGGAGAAGGCUAUGUUGGCCGGGCGACGGUUGUCCCGGUUUAAGCGUGUAGGCUGGUUUUCCAGGCAAAUCCGGAAAAUCAAGGCUGAGGCGUGAUGACGAGGCACUACGGUGCUGAAGCAACAAAUGCCCUGCUUCCAGGAAAAGCCUCUAAGCAUCAGGUAACAUCAAAUCGUACCCCAAACCGACACAGGUGGUCAGGUAGAGAAUACCAAGGCGCUUGAGAGAACUCGGGUGAAGGAACUAGGCAAAAUGGUGCCGUAACUUCGGGAGAAGGCACGCUGAUAUGUAGGUGAAGCGACUUGCUCGUGGAGCUGAAAUCAGUCGAAGAUACCAGCUGGCUGCAACUGUUUAUUAAAAACACAGCACUGUGCAAACACGAAAGUGGACGUAUACGGUGUGACGCCUGCCCGGUGCCGGAAGGUUAAUUGAUGGGGUCAGCGCAAGCGAAGCUCUUGAUCGAAGCCCCGGUAAACGGCGGCCGUAACUAUAACGGUCCUAAGGUAGCGAAAUUCCUUGUCGGGUAAGUUCCGACCUGCACGAAUGGCGUAAUGAUGGCCAGGCUGUCUCCACCCGAGACUCAGUGAAAUUGAACUCGCUGUGAAGAUGCAGUGUACCCGCGGCAAGACGGAAAGACCCCGUGAACCUUUACUAUAGCUUGACACUGAACAUUGAGCCUUGAUGUGUAGGAUAGGUGGGAGGCUUUGAAGUGUGG